UAAGAAUUGAAAACAUGGACUUCAAGCUGUAUUAUAAAGCUGUAAUCAUCAAGACAGUAUAGUACUGCCACAAGAACACUCAGAUUAGUGGAAUAGAAAACAGAACUCAGAAAUGGACCCACAAACAUAUGGCCAACUAAUCUUUGACAAACCAGGAA
Molecule: long non-coding RNA, 158 nt
Organism: Leopardus geoffroyi (Geoffroy's cat)
Lineage: Eukaryota; Metazoa; Chordata; Mammalia; Carnivora; Felidae
Exons: 3
Source: RefSeq, a predicted model, not a curated record